This 28-nucleotide small RNA is filed under the name Bombyx mori (domestic silkworm). Its description in RNAcentral is "ovarian small RNA-31601". Lineage: Eukaryota; Metazoa; Arthropoda; Insecta; Lepidoptera; Bombycidae. The record is from RNAcentral.
UGACCGCGACCCUACAUCGGUCCAGCCA